GGUCAAGUCAUCAUGGCCCCUAUGUCCAGGGCUACACACGUGCUACAAUGGCAGGUACAAAGUGACGCGAAGCUGUGAAGUUAGAGCGAAGCACGAAAGCCUGCCGUAGUUCGGAUUGAAGUCUGAAACCCGACUUCAUGAAGUUGGAAUCGCUAGUAAUCGCGCAUCAGCAUGGCGCGGUGAAUACGUUCCCGGGCCUU
This 200-nucleotide ribosomal RNA is filed under the name uncultured prokaryote. RNAcentral's name for it is "partial 16S ribosomal RNA". It matches the Rfam family "Bacterial small subunit ribosomal RNA", at positions 1183 to 1382 of the family's 1533-position model. The record is from RNAcentral.